CCCCCUUCGAUCCGGGGCUCGUGUGGGAUGGAUCAGAGCCACUGUCUCACCAUGGCGGACGGAGAGGGGAGAAGAAGCGCAGGUCCGCCAUGGUGGCGCCACUGCCCAUGAUGCCACUGCCAGGGCCAGCGCCACGAGGCAAGAUGGACGCCAGCUCAGCGCCACAGCACAAGAUGGCCGCCAGCCCAGCGCCACAGCACAAGAUGGCCGCCAGCCCAGCGCCACAGCACAAGAUGGCCGCCAGCCCAGUGCCGCAGCACAAGAUGGCCGCCAGCCCAGCGCCGCAGCACAAGAUGGCCGCCAGCCCAGCACCACAGCACAGGAUGGUUGACUCAACGCCUGAGUCUUCCGUCAAGGAGCCACCGGCUCGCCAUCAUAGAGGGCGGAGGAGGAGGAGACAGGCGUCAGCCGUUCCUCAAAGCCCGGGGGGGGGUCCCGAGCAGGCCGCUGCCGUCCAGGAGGACGUUCCAGAGCGGGCCGCCGCCGUCCAGGAGGACGUUCCAGAGCGGGCCACUGCCGUCCAGGAGGACGUUCCCGAGCGGGCCGCUGCCGUCCAGGAGGACGUUCCCGAGCAGGCCGCUGUCGUCCAGGUGGACGUGCCCGAGGUUCCCGAGGCGGUGCCCGAUGCCGAGGCGGUGCCCGAUGCCGAGGCGGUGCCUGAUGCGGUGGCCGAGGCGGUUCCCGAUGCAAUGUCCGAUGCCGAGGCGGUGCCCGAUGCCGAGGCGGUGCCCGAUGCCGAGGCGGUGACCGAUGCCGUUCCGGAGGUCGAGGCAGUGACCGAUGCCGUGCCAGAGACGGUGCCAGAGACGGUUCCCGAUGUAAUGCCCGAGACCGAGGCUGUUCCGGAGGUCGAGGCGGUGCCCGAUGCUGUUCCGGAGGCCGAUGCGGGGCCCGAGAUGGUUCCGGAGGCGAUACCCGUGUCCAAGGCCGUUCCCGAGGCGGUGCCCUUGUCUGAGGCCGUUCCCGAUGCCGUUCCCAAUGCCGUGACCUGGCCACAGCCUGCUCCUUACUGGCUCCCCGAUUGGCAGGUUCCGUUCGGGCCACUCAAAUGGCGAAUUCCUCCCUGGCCGUCUGCACAACGAGAAUGGACUGAUCCACCGUGGCCACCUGAACUGCCUGGUCCCUCGUGGUCCCCUGAACUUUCGGGUCCACCGUGGCCACCUGAACUGCCUGGUCCCUCGUGGUCCCCUGAACUUUCGGGCCCACCAUGGCCCCCUGAUCUGACCGAGCC
This is a long non-coding RNA of Cyprinus carpio carpio, 1231 nucleotides long. The record is from Ensembl. NCBI's taxonomy places the organism in Eukaryota, Metazoa, Chordata, Actinopteri, Cypriniformes, Cyprinidae.